Long non-coding RNA from Patella vulgata (common limpet), 4614 nucleotides. RefSeq lists it as uncharacterized. NCBI's taxonomy places the organism in Eukaryota, Metazoa, Mollusca, Gastropoda, Patellidae. The record is from RefSeq and is a predicted model, not a curated record. The transcript has 3 exons.
UCUAGUCAUUCGGAUGGGACGAAAAACUGAGGUCCCGUGUACACAUUGGCAUGCACGUAAAAGAUCCCUUGGCAGUUGGAAUUCGAUAUAAGAGUAGGUCAUAGUGCCGCUGCUCGGGCAAAAUUUCCCUCAUAGCACACUGUAUGGCAUAUGCCCGUCUUCAUUAGCCCAGUUUGGAGCAGAACAGUAGGACGUUAAACCCCAUUUCAUUUCAUUUCAUUUAAUAGAAUUAAACAACUUGUCCAACUUGUCUUUUAGCAAGUUCUAUCGCCAUUUCGCUGAUACAUUGUCAUGUGUAGAAAGCGACCUUCACCGAUCAUGUCUUUACAUCCGUAUAGGAACAUAAAAAUUAAUGGUAAUCAUUAAGAGUAGGCCUACUAAAGUUAUGAUAUUUUGAUAAAAACUGAUGAAAUGUGAAAGAUCUUAUUGUCAAUAGGCCUACAGUAUAGUUAGUUCCUGAUCUCCUGGCAACUUUUGUUACAAAGUUUUUAACCUUUUCAUCUUUUAUUUCAGUAUCAGUCAGAAUAAACUCACAGCCAUACUCAAGCACUAUAAAGAAGAAGGAUUGACCCUUCGGUUCAAGAAAAGUGGUGGUAGGCGUGCUACAGAUCCAAGGCUACUGACGCAUGAAGACGUGACUCGUGUUAUAUCUUUCAUAAUAAAUUUCGCAGAGGCCCAUUCAGUAUCACUAGCAGGGAGAGUUCCAGGCUAUAAACGGUUUGAUAUAAAGCUCCUGCCGUCCCAUUACUCCAAGACCAGUAUCUUUAAACUGUACACAUCUGCAAUGGAAACAGCAGGUCACCGAGCUGUCAAGACACGAUCUUUCAGAAGUUUAUGGGGGACACUGCUGCCAUACAUCGUACAAUCUCGGCCAAUGACAGACUUGUGCUGGGUAUGUCAACGUAACAACUCGGCUGUGUAUCGAAGUGCAAAUAUGUCUGAUGAGGAGAAGUCGAAGCGUAUCCAUGCGCAAGAGUUCCACAUCAAGAGGGUCACCCUGGAGCGAUCUCUCUAUCAGGACAUGGUUCAUGCUUCUAAGGAAACUAUACAGGAUACUGGAUUAGUGCUGGGGAAAAACGCACCGAACUCUAGGAAUCUAAUAAUGCAUUAUUCUUUUGAUUACGCACAGCAGGUGCAUUACCCUUCAAACCCCAUGCAGCCAGGCCCACUUUACUUCCUCACUCCAAAGAAAUGUGGCUUGUUUAGUGUUACCUGCGAAGGCUUGCCACAGCAAGUAAACUAUCUUAUUGAUGAGGGUAUGUGCAUUUCGAAGGGUUCCAAUGCAGUCAUAAAUUUAAAAUUUCUUGAUACGAUUGGACUCAGAAAAAUGCACAUGCAAUUGCACUGUGACAAUUGUAGUGGGCAAAAAACAAGAAUAACAUGAUGCUGUGGUGUCUGUUGAGGCGAGUUCUUUGUGGACUGCACAAUACUAUAUCCCUCAACUUCCUUAUAACUGGACAUUCAAAAUUUGCUCCUGAUUGGUGUUUUGGUUUGAUUAAACAAAGGUACAAGAGGACAAUGGUGUCCUGUUUGGAUGACAUCGUUGAUGUUGUAACUUCAAGUACUAAGAAAGUCAAUAUUGCCCAGAAAGUUGGCAGUGAAGGUGGGAAGAUUUUUGUACCUCGGAGGGACUGGAAUACAUACCUAAGACCAUUUUUCAAAUCACUACCUGGAAUUAAAAAAACACAACAUUUCAGGUUUGAUUCUGAGCAUCCCGGCUGCGUUUUCUACAAGGAAUUUUCAGACUCUGGGGAACAGAUGGUCUGUCUCCUAAAGAACCUGACUGGCCGUCCUCCUCUUGAGCGACCGAAUCAACUGCUGCCUACUGGCCUCGAUGACAAACGCCAGAACUACUUGUUCAAGUCCAUCCGAGAGUUUUGCACCAUGCCAGUAAAUAAAGUUGCAGAGGAAUAAAGUGACAAAGAGGAGCCAUUGGAACCUGCAGCUGGCCAAGAGUCGUAAAGACCCAUGUGUCUGGACAUUCUUGGACAACUGGACCUCCCUUGUGCUUGUGUGUGAAAUGCUGAAACAUGUCCCAUUCAUGAAACUAUCUUGUUUGAUUUCAAGUUUUAGUACUUUUGAUUUUUGAUUAUAAUAUUUUCCAAAUAUUUUUAUUCCAGAAAUCUGUUUAAGACAAAAAAGGUUGGGGGGUGGUUGCUUACUGCUUGACUGUUUUGUUCUUAAUUAUCCUAAAAGUAAAUUAGUCUGUAAAUCAGAUGAGGUUGUUUAACGUGUAUGUUUAUUUCCAGAGUGAAUACCGGUAUAUCAAACAAUAUAUCAAUAAAAACAAUUAUUGUAUAUAGAAUAAAAUAUUAAUAAAGUUAAUGAAUAGUUAAUAAGUUAAUAAGAUGUCUAUCUUUGUAUGCUUUAUUGUAAAUUGUACAUAUACAUAUAUUGUCACAUGCAUUAUUUAAAGAAAUGAAAUUAUAAAACGAGAACUAAAAAAUAUGACACAGUAUUAAAUGUAACGUUACUUACCUGAAAGUAAUUUAGUCUUGAAAUCAGAUGAGAGUGUUCAACAUGUAUGUUUAUUUCCAGAGUGAAUAUACAUGUAGAUGUUGUUGUUCUAGGUGUUUAAUGUCUGCUUCCACCAAAGGUGAUAUCACAGAUAAUUUGUCUUACUUUUAUUAUCUUAGUGCAUGUGAAGAGUCUUUUCUGUGGGAGUAAACCCAUGAGUGUGAGAAGGUGCCCCUAUCUCCAAGCCACAUAUACUCACACCAGGGAUCGAAACCACAAUUGCAAGCCAGAGGUGACCGACCAGCUAGAGUUCGAAGCGUGAUACUCUAGGCCAUCCCAUCCCAUCUAUAUAUGUUGCACCCUGCUGAGUUUAUAUACAUAUUGGAAAUUAGAUCUGAUUUAGAGCAUCUUAAGUUUAAACAAUUAAAGAUACAUUAUGUAAGAUUUAGAUAAAGAGCUGGCCAUUCUUGCUAUAAUAGCUCACAAAUAGAUAAUACAAAAUAAAAAUAUUGAAUAUUUCAUGCAAAUUACUCGAUUCUGAGUCAAGUUAUCACUGUUUGUUGUAGUUUUGACUAGAUGUGUGCAUUGUUGUAACCAGGGCACUGGUAUAUUCAAGACAUGGCCUGGCUUUCCGAUUUUUAAAUUUAAUUUUUAAAUGACGAACCAAUCUAAUCUAGUUAAAAUCUUGAGUAUCUGAUGGUAUCAAGAGUUGAUUUGGUCUUGUUUUGUUAAUAAAUGCCUAAUUAAUAUUUUAUAUAACAUUUAAGGCCAAAAGAAAGACCUGCAAUAGGCAUUUUAGCUCUUACGUAAUGCAUGUUAAACACAAUAGCUUUAAUUAGACAGCUGGACAAGGUAUGGUCUUGUCGUUAAUUAUAAGAGUACAACAGUGAGUGAGCUUAAAUUAUAUAUCUCUAGACUUUAAGGUAAUUAAAACAAUGAAUUUACAAAUGAAAUGAAAUGGGGUUUAACCUUAUUUAUUUUACAACUAGUCCAGCAAGCCUGAGGUUUGAUUAACGUCUAUAAUGAAUGAAUAUGUGUAGUAAUAAUAAAAUUAAAAUAUAUAAUAUUUCACAAGUAAUGUUGCAUGUUCAUGUAGAGUUAUAAUUUACUCAAUUACAGAUGUAUAAGCUUGCAUCCUGAUGUUGAUGAGGUGCGAGAUAAAAUUAUACUGUUUGAAUUUUAAAAGUUGACCGAAACACAUUAAAUGUUAUUAAUACAAUAAAAGGACUUUUGUUUUAGUCUGGAUUAACCUAGCCUACUACUUACUAGACUAGCUCGAUAUACGGUACUACGUACUCGAGAUAAGAUUUUGUUUACAUUUUAAACAGUAGUGAAAUUAACACAAUAAAUUAAACGAGAAUUCAACAGUCCGUGCACGAAGUGCCGUCAGUCAGUGCCAAUACGGCGAUGAUUUAAUAUUUGUAAGUUGAGUGUUCGUUAACCCGUCCACAAGCAAACCUGUCCACAGUUAAGGUAAUACCGGUACUUGACUUGUAUAUUAUUUAAUUGAUUAGAAAAGAUCAGUUUUACUCAUUGGUUGUUUAUAUUGUUUUAUUUACCUAAUAAUCAACUAGCUUGGCUCGCCAUCACGACAGCGAUUAGUUCGAGUUCAAAUUCUUUAUUCCGUUAAGCCAAAGACUCAUCAGGUAUAACAUAUAGUACAAACAAAUAAAUAAAUACAAUAUGUACAAAAACAAUAUAGUUCACCGAUGUUUUUGUAAUAAAGAACAAUAGUAUUGUUUGUUGAUUAGCGUUAUGAUUUUAGACAAAAUGGUAAGUUCACCAAUGUUUUUGUAAUAAAGUAGACCCGUAUUGUUUGUUAAUUGACUUUAUCCCAUGAUUUAAAAAAUUGGCGAUGGUUAAUAUUGGGUCAAAAAUAAUUCCUUAAAUUGCGCCGGAGCCCCUUUUAGAUAAAUUGAAUUCGCAUAAAAACAACAAAGAGUGGCUCGUGCGAUUUUAUUCUUUGAUCUUUGAUACACGGGACAUUUCUGUUAUUCAAACAAAUCUGCACGAGAAUGACAACAUACAAGUUGACAGUUACCAUUGAUUUGGGGUUCAUGUAGAAUAGGCUCUUCUAUCGAGCCUACAGUUAUUCUUUUCUAAAAUAAAAUGAGUGCCUUGGAUUUUUGUGUGGAUUUGAUAGCGGUUAUACUUAAC